This 264-nucleotide unclassified non-coding RNA is filed under the name uncultured fungus. RNAcentral describes it as "partial contains 5.8S ribosomal RNA, internal transcribed spacer 2, and large subunit ribosomal RNA". Lineage: Eukaryota; Fungi. The record is from RNAcentral.
AACGCACAUUGCGCCCCUCGGUAUUCCGUGGGGCAUGCCUGUUCGAGCGUCAUUUACACCCUCAAGCUCUGCUUGGUGUUGGGCGUCUGUCCCCGCCGAAAGGCGCAGACUCGCCCCAAAGGCAUUGGCAGCGGUCCCUGCCGGACUUCCCCAACAGCGCAGCACUGUUCGCGCAUCCGGGGAUCCGCGCGGGUCCAGCGUCCACGAAGCCCGAUUGCAUCGCAACUUGACCUCGGAUCAGGUAGGGAUACCCGCUGAACUUAA